Molecule: long non-coding RNA, 635 nt
Filed under: Phoenix dactylifera (date palm)
Lineage: Eukaryota; Viridiplantae; Streptophyta; Magnoliopsida; Arecales; Arecaceae
Description: long non-coding RNA (PDAC_LNC008008)
Source: RNAcentral
GAGGUCGGUCAUUGAAGUCAUUGUACGGCCGAACAUUAAUUUUGUACUUUAGCCUUCGGGCUUUUAUCAAUGGAGAGCUUUUUUCUAAAUUUAUGCUUGCCUCUUUUUUGCAUAGUAGGUAAACUUUUACCUUGGCUGCUUAAGUUGAAUUCCUCUCCCUCGAAUUUCUCUAAGUCUUCAAUCUCGGCUAAAUUCAUAGACUUAGAUUCUGGUAGCAUUCGCUAGAUUGUCAGGCUUAGGGAUCGCAUUAAGGCUCCGGGUUUAGACUUUAGGAAAAUUCGCUAAGUCCUUGAGCUCGGGCUCCGAAGAAGUCUCGCUAAUCCUUUAGGCUUAGCUUCCGAAAAUUUGGCCAAGUUCUUGGGCUCGGCUUCUAGAACAAGCUUGUCAAAACUUUAAGGUCGGGCUCCGAAGAGAUCCCGCUAGGCAUUUAGGUUUAUCCUCUGAAAAAUUUCGCCGAGUCCUUGGGCUCGGCUUCCAGAAUAAGCUUGUCAAAGCUUUAAGGUCUAACUCCGAAGAGAUCAUAGACUGAGGUCAGGCUAUCGUUGGAGCUUUCGUGCUUUUUGGUCUCGAACUUGGUUGGAGUAUCAAGAGGUAGAAUCAGAACUUACGGUGAGUGACUUGGCACUUCCGAGCUC